This is a long non-coding RNA of Oncorhynchus keta (chum salmon), 344 nucleotides long. RefSeq lists it as uncharacterized. The transcript is spliced from 3 exons. NCBI's taxonomy places the organism in Eukaryota, Metazoa, Chordata, Actinopteri, Salmoniformes, Salmonidae. The record is from RefSeq and is a predicted model, not a curated record.
GGGAGUUCUAUGAGCUACAGGUGAGACGGGGAGUUCUAUGAGCUACAGGUGAGACGGGGAGUUCUACAAGCUACAGGUGAGACGGGGAGUUCUACAAGCUACAGGUGAGACGGGGAGUUCUACAAGCUACAGGUGAGACGGGGAGUUCUACAAGCUACAGGUGAGACGGGGAGUUCUAUGAGCUACAGGUGAGACGGGUUAAUGGCCUCGGUGGCCUGGCAGGUGGCCUGGCAGAUUGGGCUCCUCUUGAAGGCCAAAUGACCUUACCCAUAAAAUCACGAAAUUCCAGACCUUCAAGAUGGGCGUGUGAGUGGACAGACUCUUACCAGAGAACAUGGGAACGA